GAAGCAGCCAUCCUUGAAAGAGUGCGUAAUAGCUCACUGGUCAAGUGAUUCCGCGCCGACAAUGUAGCGGGGCUCAAGCACACCGCCGAAGUCAUGUCAUUGACGCAUGAGGUCUAACGACCGUGUCGAUGGGUAGGGGAGCGUCGUGUGCCGGGUGAAGCAGCGCCGGAAGGUAGUUGUGGACGGUUCACGAGUGAGAAUGCAGGCAUGAGUAGCGAUACACACGUG
Molecule: ribosomal RNA, 228 nt
Filed under: Streptomyces griseoflavus
Lineage: Bacteria; Bacillati; Actinomycetota; Actinomycetes; Kitasatosporales; Streptomycetaceae
Also listed under: 1 other name
Description: partial 23S ribosomal RNA
Rfam family: Bacterial large subunit ribosomal RNA
Source: RNAcentral